UGGGGGAUAUUGCACAAUGGGGGAAACCCUGAUGCAGCAACGCCGCGUGAAGGAAGAAGGUCUUCGGAUUGUAAACUUUUGUCUUGCGGGACGAAUAAUGACGGUACCGCAGGAGGAAGCCACGGCUAACUACGUGCCAGCAGCCGCGGUAAUACGUAGGUGGCGAGCGUUGUCCGGAAUUACUGGGUGUAAAGGUUGCGUAGGCGGAUUUGCAAGUCAGGUGUGAAAACUAACGGCUUAACCGGUAGCCUACACUUGAAACUGUAAGUCUUUAGUGGUGAAGAGGUAAGCGGAAUUCCUAGUUUAGCGGUGAAAUGCGUAGAUAUUAGGAGGAACACCAGUGGCGAAGGCGGCUUACUGGGCACUAACUGACGCUGAGGCGCGAAAGCAUGGGGAGCAAACA
This 403-nucleotide ribosomal RNA is filed under the name uncultured prokaryote. Its description in RNAcentral is "bacterial SSU rRNA". It matches the Rfam family "Bacterial small subunit ribosomal RNA", at positions 355 to 774 of the family's 1533-position model. The record is from RNAcentral.